CAAAGCUUGAGAGGUCUCCUAGCUCCCACCUCUGGGGCUCCCUCCAAUCCUAGCUGCUUGCCUCUCAAGCACUGUGUACUUGUAGAGAUUAGAUUUUAUUGUCUCCAUAAGUCAGAAAUAUAUUUGACUUUAUAUUUGAUAGCUCCAAGAAAUUAUAAAUGUGUACAUAAUAGAGGGAAUACACUAUUGAUGCAUAUGCUGGGAAAUAGGAUAUAUUUAUUUUCUUCAGAAAUAAGAAAAAAAAGAGAAAGAAGGAAAGAAAGAAGAAAGAUGAAGAAAGAAGAAGAGGAAGAGGAAGAAGAAGAAAAAGAAGAAAGAAGAAGAAAUCUAGUCUUUUAAAUUAGGAAGCAGAAAAAAAAGAAAACAGAAGCUCUCCCUUUGUUUCAUAGAAAAUGGUGGUGAGGAGGCAGUUGGCCCUGGGAGAGGGAUGUUUAUCUCUUGCGAUCAUGAUUCUAACUCUACCUGAAAUGGAUCACAGUCUCUGAAGGCAUGGAUCGGUAUUGCUGCUAUAAUAAUAAUAAUAACUAAUUUCUGAAUA
Molecule: long non-coding RNA, 538 nt
Organism: Sarcophilus harrisii (Tasmanian devil)
Lineage: Eukaryota; Metazoa; Chordata; Mammalia; Dasyuromorphia; Dasyuridae
Exons: 3
Source: RefSeq, a predicted model, not a curated record